CGGGAGGCAGCAGUAGUGGGGAAUAUUGCACAAUGGAGGAAACUCUGAUGCAGCAACGCCGCGUGGAGGAUGACACUUUUCGGAGCGUAAACUCCUUUUAUAUAGGAAGAAGAUGACGGUACUAUAUGAAUAAGCGCCGGCUAACUCCGUGCCAGCAGCCGCGGUAAUACGGAGGGCGCAAGCGUUACUCGGAAUCACUGGGCGUAAAGAGCGUGUAGGCGGAUUAAAAAGUCAGAAGUGAAAUCCUAUAGCUUAACUAUAGAACUGCUUCUGAAACUCUUAAUCUAGAAUAUGGGAGAGGUAGAUGGAAUUUCUGGUGUAGGGGUAAAAUCCGUAGAGAUCAGAAGGAAUACCGAUUGCGAAGGCGAUCUACUAGAACAUUAUUGACGCUGAGACGCGAAAGCGUGGGGAGCAAACAGGAUUAGAUACCCCUGUAGUC
This 439-nucleotide ribosomal RNA is filed under the name uncultured bacterium. RNAcentral's name for it is "partial 16S ribosomal RNA". It matches the Rfam family "Bacterial small subunit ribosomal RNA", at positions 342 to 795 of the family's 1533-position model. The record is from RNAcentral.